ACCUGCGACAGCUUCCUCUGCGACUUUGGCAUGCUGCUUGGCAAGGUCGUCUUUUAAACUGACGUUUAAAAGAGCUGCAGAGAGCCUCUCCGUUAGAAUCUUGAUAUCCGCCGUUGCCUCUUCUUCUUCUAGUUCUUUCUCUUCUUCUCUUGUUACAGGUUUAGAUAUUAAUUCCGGUGAGUGAGAUCUCUGUGUUUUCACAUACCCAAACACAUCAAAACCACAACACAAAAGAAGAAGAAACCAUAACAAAAUCAUAUUAAAUUCUCCACAAAAGUCUCUCUUAAAUCACAUGCUCACAUUAACUCCAUUGAUAGAUGGAAUCAACAAUCAAACAUAGACACUCUUACAUAAACUCAAACAAAGGCACUUCUAGAAACAGAUCAAAAUGGUAACACAAUACCAAAGGUUUCAGGAGAUGUGAACAUAAACAACAAGUCAACAACUAAUCUUCUUGUAGUUUCAAUCACAUUCUACCAUUACAAAAUCUACCAAGUUCUUCUGAAAAAGUCUCUAUUCUCACAGUAAAUCCAUUGAUUAAGCUGAGCAACAGCAAAAAGAUGCAUUGCUACAUAAAGCUCAAAACUUUCGAUUCAGGGAGACCAAAGCAGACCAAGAAAGUGUUACCUGAUCGUCUGAGAAUCUUUCAGAAUGAGAAGAGAGUGAGCCUGUACUCUCUGUCUCGCCAGGACUUUUCUCAGAAGACUUUCUCCGCCAUAACCAGCUUCUCCGGUCCAUCUCCUCCACACCCACCACCAAACAUUCAAACACAAUUCAUCUGCCA
Brassica rapa (field mustard) is the source of this 784-nucleotide long non-coding RNA. RefSeq lists it as uncharacterized. Lineage: Eukaryota; Viridiplantae; Streptophyta; Magnoliopsida; Brassicales; Brassicaceae. The record is from RefSeq and is a predicted model, not a curated record.